Non-coding RNA from Pantherophis guttatus, 592 nucleotides. NCBI's taxonomy places the organism in Eukaryota, Metazoa, Chordata, Lepidosauria, Squamata, Colubridae. The record is from RefSeq and is a predicted model, not a curated record.
UGAAAAUUCUAAACAAAUUAAAAUAUCUUAUUAUAAAUCUACUAAUGACUAGGUCACAGCACAACUGCUAUAAGAUUUUUUAAACAAAUUUAUCUUGACUUCUAUAAGGGAUCUACAAAGAUGUAAGUUGCCCCCAGUUUGGAUCUGUUCUAUAGAACCAGAAAAACCAGACAGAGGCUCCACCCACCGAUCCCGACGUCAUCACAAUGCUUCUGCGCAUGUGCAGAAGAGCGCGCGUGCGCACAAGCAAAGCACAAGCGCACACGGCCCCAUUGAGAACUGGUAGUAAAGGAUAGACCCUGAUCUCAGGCAUUUCCCAAACAGAAUUAUUUAUAUUACACGAUUAAGGUACUUCUGGGCAGCACCACUCCAGGAGAAGGAAGAUUCAUCCAAGAAGAAGCAUACAGAAUUUAGCCUUUCUUUCUGUUAUACACCAUUUGUAUCAGAAAUAAAGUUAUUUAUUUUAUUUUAUUUAAGCCUUAUAUGUAGACGCCCAUCUCACAGCUUUGUGACUUUGAAAGACAUAUAAAAAUAUCAUUCAUCAUGCCACUCCUUAAUGGAUUCCAUGUUACAAUCAAUUUCAUCCUUCUCA